RNAcentral lists this ribosomal RNA (480 nucleotides) under uncultured bacterium. RNAcentral's name for it is "bacterial SSU rRNA". It matches the Rfam family "Bacterial small subunit ribosomal RNA", at positions 29 to 527 of the family's 1533-position model. The record is from RNAcentral.
AACGAACGCUGGCGGCAGGCCUAACACAUGCAAGUCGAGCGGGGGAGCAAUCCCUAGCGGCGGACGGGUUAGUAACGCGUGGGAACAUACCCUUUGGUACGGAAUAGCCUCGGGAAACUGAGAGUAAUACCGUAUGUGCCCUUCGGGGGAAAUAUUUAUAGGAUGUAGAUGGGCAUGCGUAAGAUUAGCUAGUUGGUAAGGUAACGGCUUACCAAGGCUACGAUCUUUAGGGGCUCUGAGAGGAGUAUCCCCACACUGGCACUGAGAUACGGGCCAGACUCCUACGGGAGGCAGCAGUAGGGAAUAUUGGGCAAUGGAGGCAACUCUGACCCAGCCAUGCCGCGUGCAGGAAGACGGGCCCCUAAUGGGGUUGUAAACUGCUUUUUCCAGGGGGGAGAAACUUGCGCACGUGUUGCGCAAUUGACGGUACCCUGGGAAUAAGCAUCGGCUAACUCCGUGCCAGCAGCCGCGGUAAAGUCA